Non-coding RNA from Paramuricea clavata, 376 nucleotides. The record is from the annotation of a GenBank genome assembly. Lineage: Eukaryota; Metazoa; Cnidaria; Anthozoa; Malacalcyonacea; Plexauridae.
GUUUUGAACAAUUUACUUCUCUAUGAGUAAAAUCAAAUUUUACACAAAUAAACAGUUGUUUACUUAUUACUCAGCUUUUACACUGUUGACACUGCUUUCUCUUCCGCUAGUAAGAGUAUACUAGUCAGUAUACGUUUUUAUCCGGCAAGACUUCCUUGGCUUGCCCUUGUCUUGACUUGUUGAGUCGUUCUACAAUGACAUCGGCAAUACGAACAAUAAAUUCUCGUUUAUUGGUCGCUGGCAACAGAGGCGGUUUUUCGUCCACGCACACAAAUUAAAAUGUUAAAGAUGCGGUAAAGUCCGUUCUGCGCAUAUAUUCUGCGCAUCAAAACAUUCCAUCAGUGGGGGAGCAACCUUUGGAAUGUUUUUAAUAUUU